Molecule: transfer RNA, 77 nt
Filed under: Ipomoea nil (Japanese morning glory)
Lineage: Eukaryota; Viridiplantae; Streptophyta; Magnoliopsida; Solanales; Convolvulaceae
Rfam family: tRNA
About the family: Transfer RNA (tRNA) molecules are approximately 80 nucleotides in length. Their secondary structure includes four short double-helical elements and three loops (D, anti-codon, and T loops).
Source: Rfam by way of RNAcentral
GGGGAUGUAGCUCAGAUGGUAGAGUGAGUGCUUGCUUAGCAUGCAAGAGGUAUGGGGAUCAAUACCCCGCAUCUCCA